GACGAACGCUGGCGGCGUGCCUAAUACAUGCAAGUUGAGCGCUGAAGGUUGGUACUUGUACCAACUGGAUGAGCAGCGAACGGGUGAGUAACGCGUGGGGAAUCUGCCUUUGAGCGGGGGACAACAUUUGGAAACGAAUGCUAAUACCGCAUAAAAACUUUAAACACAAGAUUUAAGUUUGAAAGAUGCAAUUGCAUCACUCAAAGAUGAUCCCGCGUUGUAUUAGCUAGUUGGUGAGGUAAAGGCUCACCAAGGCGAUGAUACAUAGCCGACCUGAGAGGGUGAUCGGCCACAUUGGGACUGGGACACGGCCCAAACUCCUACGGGAGGCAGCAGUAGGGAAUCUUCGGCAAUGGACGUAAGUCUGACCGAGCAACGCCGCGUGAGUGAAGAAGGUUUUCGGAUCGUAAAACUCUGUUGGUAGAGAAGAACGUUGGUGAGAGUGGAAAGCUCAUCAAGUGACGGUAACUACCCAGAAAGGGACGGCUAACUACGUG
This 497-nucleotide ribosomal RNA is filed under the name uncultured bacterium. RNAcentral describes it as "partial 16S ribosomal RNA". It matches the Rfam family "Bacterial small subunit ribosomal RNA", at positions 28 to 507 of the family's 1533-position model. The record is from RNAcentral.